This 215-nucleotide unclassified non-coding RNA is filed under the name Hevea brasiliensis (rubber tree). The record is from RNAcentral. Lineage: Eukaryota; Viridiplantae; Streptophyta; Magnoliopsida; Malpighiales; Euphorbiaceae.
UGCAAGUUGUUUUAAAACCUCGACUGCCCAGGUAGGGACUUUCAUUCCAACUUCAAAUACAGGAGCCCGACCAGCUAUAGAAACAAAAUUCAGAGGCUCGGGAGAAGACGACAUAUUUUUCUCACAACUUGGUAGAGUGUGAACUAGCCGACUCUUCUCAAUAAGUUCAUUCUUAAUAUGGCAUUCCAGCAGCUGAUCAUCAAAACAAGUUUGUG